GUCGAGCGGUAACAGGUGUAGCAAUACAUGCUGACGAGCGGCGAACGGGUGAGUAAUGCUUCGGAAUCUACCCUAUGGUGGGGAAUAACCAGCCGAAAGGUUGGCUAAUACCGCAUAAGUCCUACGGGAGAAAGCAGGGGAUCGUAAGACCUUGCGCCGAUGGAUGAGCCGAAGUCGGAUUAGCUAGUUGGUGAGGUAACGGCUCACCAAGGCGACGAUCCGUAGCUGGUCUGAGAGGACGACCAGCCACACUGGGACUGAGACACGGCCCAGACUCCUACGGGAGGCAGCAGUGGGGAAUAUUGGACAAUGGGGGCAACCCUGAUCCAGCGACGCCGCGUGUGUGAAGAAGGCCUGCGGGUUGUAAAGCACUUUUAGUGGGGAUGAAAUGUGCAGGGUUAACACCUCUGCAUUUUGACCUAACCCACAGAAAAAGCACCGGCUAACUCUGUGCCAGCAGCCGCGGUAAUACAGAGGGUGCAAGCGUUAAUCGGAAUUACUGGGCGUAAAGCGUGCGCAGACGGUUCGAUAAGUCGGGUGUGAAAGCCCCGGGCUCAACCUGGGAAUUGCAUUCGAGACUGUCGAGCUAGGGUGCGGAAGAGGGAAGCGGAAUUUCCGGUGUAGCGGUGAAAUGCGUAGAUAUCGGAAGGAACACCAGUGGCGAAAGCGGCUUCCUGGUCCAGCACCGACGUUCAGGCACG
This 701-nucleotide ribosomal RNA is filed under the name uncultured Gammaproteobacteria bacterium. Its description in RNAcentral is "bacterial SSU rRNA". It matches the Rfam family "Bacterial small subunit ribosomal RNA", at positions 61 to 755 of the family's 1533-position model. The record is from RNAcentral. Lineage: Bacteria; Pseudomonadati; Pseudomonadota; Gammaproteobacteria.